Molecule: small nuclear RNA, 100 nt
Filed under: Vulpes vulpes (red fox)
Lineage: Eukaryota; Metazoa; Chordata; Mammalia; Carnivora; Canidae
Source: RNAcentral
GCUCGCUUCGGCAGCAUAUAUUAAAGUUGGAAUGAUAUAGAGAAGUUUAGCAUGGCCCCUGUGCAAGGACAUGUAUAAAAGUGUAUUCUUCUUUGCUCUG